This 249-nucleotide ribosomal RNA is filed under the name uncultured bacterium. RNAcentral's name for it is "partial 16S ribosomal RNA". It matches the Rfam family "Bacterial small subunit ribosomal RNA", at positions 85 to 334 of the family's 1533-position model. The record is from RNAcentral.
AGAGUGGCGACCGGCGCACGGGUGAGUAACACGUAUCCAACCUGCCGAUAACUCGGGGAUACCUUUACGAAAAGAAAGAUUAAUACCCGAUGGCAUAAUAGAAUCGCAUGGUUUGAUUAUUAAAGAAUUUCGGUUAUCGAUGGGGAUGCGUUCCAUUAGGCAGUUGGUGGGGUAACGGCCCACCAAACCUUCGAUGGAUAGGGGUUCUGAGAGGAAGGUCCCCCACAUUGGAACUGAGACACGGUCCAA